RNAcentral lists this ribosomal RNA (1394 nucleotides) under metagenome. Its description in RNAcentral is "bacterial LSU rRNA". It matches the Rfam family "Bacterial large subunit ribosomal RNA", at positions 1519 to 2925 of the family's 2925-position model. The record is from RNAcentral.
AGUAGUGUGAACAUGGAGGCAAAUCCACAUGUUUAAACAUGAGAUCUUAUGGGUAAGUAGCUUAGGCUAUAAAUCACAAAUCCUAUACUGCCGAGAAAAACUUCUAUUGAGAUUAUGUAGUGCCCGUACUGUAAACCGACACAGGUGGACUGGGUGAGUAACCCGAGGCCGACAGGAUACCUCUAGCUAAGGAACUCUGCAAAAUGGCCCCGUAACUUCGGGAGAAGGGGUACCUAUGUUAUGUGAUAAGAUAAACACUUUGAGCAGAAAUAGGUCGCAGUGAAGAGUCCCAAGCAACUGUUUACCAAAAACACAGGUCUAUGCUAAGCUGAAAGGCGACGUAUAUGGGCUGACACCUGCCCAGUGCUGGAAGGUUAAGAGGAGGAUUGAGAGAUUCGAAUUGAAGCCCCAGUGAACGGCGGCCGUAACAAUAACGGUCCUAAGGUAGCGAAAUUCCUUGUCGGGUAAGUUCCGACCUGCACGAAUGGUGAAAUGAUUUGGGAGCUGUCUUGGCUGGAGACCUGGUGAAGUUGUAAUGUCGGUGAAGAUACCGAUUACCUGCAGUAGGACGGAAAGACCCCGUGGAGCUUUACUGUAGCUUGGCAUUGGGUUUUGGCAAUGUGUGUAUAGGAUAGUUGGGAGACUAUGAUACUAGGGCGCAAGUUUUAGUGGAGUCAAUGGUGGAAUACCAACCAUAUAUUGUCGGAAUUCUAAUCAUUGGUUUGUAGCCAAUGAGACAGUGCUAGGUGGGCAGUUUGACUGGGGCGGUCGCCUCCUAAAGAGUAACGGAGGCGUUCAAAGGUUCCCUCAGGUUGGAUGGAAAUAAACCGAAGAGUGCAAAGGCAUAAGGGAGCUUGACUGCGAGACUGACGGGUCGAGCAGGCGCGAAAGCGGGACUUAGUGAUCCGGUGGUGCUGUAUGGAAAGGCCAUCGCUCAACGGAUAAAAGCUACCCUGGGGAUAACAGGCUGAUACUUCCCAAGAGUCCAUAUCGACGGAAGUGUUUGGCACCUCGAUGUCGGCUCGUCUCAUCCUGGGGCUGGAGAAGGUCCCAAGGGUUGGGCUGUUCGCCCAUUAAAGAGGCACGCGAGCUGGGUUCAGAACGUCGUGAGACAGUUCGGUCCCUAUCCACUGCAGGCGUUAGAAUAUUGAGAAGAUCUGUCCUUAGUACGAGAGGACCGGGAUGGACAAACCUCUGAUGUACCAGUUGUCACGCCAGUGGCAUCGCUGGGUAGUCACGUUUGGAAUGGAUAAUCGCUGAAAGCAUCUAAGUGAGAAGCCAACUUCAAGAUGAGUAUUCUUUUUAAGUCUCCUUCGAGACCAGGAGGUUGAUAGGCUGGGGGUGUAAGUGCAGCAAUGUAUUUAGCUGACCAGUACUAAUAUGACGUUAGCUUU